ACAGGCUCCAGGCUCUGAGCAGUCAGCACAGAGCCCGACUCGAGGCUCGAACCCACGGACAGUGAGAUCGUGACCUGAGCUGAAGUCAGACGCCCAACCGACUGAGCCACCCAGACGCCCCAGGAAGUUGUAAUUUUAGAAUGUCAGAGCUGUAAUGGUGUCCACUCAUUCAUUCAUUUAACCAAUAUUUGUUGAUUACCUGCUAUGUACUGUUUUAGGCAUGGGAAAUAUAUCUGGUUAUGAAAACAGACACAAAUCCCUUCUCUUUAUGGAUCUUAUAUUCUAGAGAAGGGAGAUAAAGAUCAAAUACAUAAAUACAAUUAUGCUAGGAGGUGAUAAUUACUAUGAAGGAAAUAAAAUAGGGGAGGGGUUUCAACUUAAACAGGGACAUCACCAAAAGGUGUCAGGUUGGGGACAUGGGGACCGUAAGAAGGUCAGAGUGGCUGAAGGCUAGAGAAAGGGGAAGAGGGGGAGGAGAUGGUGCCAGAGAGGUGGGGUGGGGGCAGUCUGACCCUGGGGGGAGGUAGGAAGCCAUGGAGUUUGCUAAUACAGGAUGGCAUGAUCUAACUUACGCUGGUCGCUUGGGCCCUUUCAUUCUAGUGAUAAGGAAAAGGCUUUAUGCUUUGCACAGCUUAUUUCUGACAGAUCCAAGAAAAGAAUCCAGGUUUUCCAGUUUCCAGUCUUUGCAUCUCUCACUAAGGUCUGCUGCUUUUAACCUUGAUAUCCCAGCAUUUAACAUUUUUCCAGAGCAUUUUCAUAAACAUUGUUUUGUUCGAUCAGAAACCUGCUGCCUCUCAAUGUCAGAUUACAGAAGGAUAAAGCAAACUACAGAGAUUAUGGGAUUUUCUGAAAGUCCCACAGAGUUGAGCUGGAACCCAUGACUUCUGAUGCCCAGGCCACUGCUUUGGGAGUUGCAGACUCUCCUUUCCAAAAUGAAGGCCUUGUAUUCUCCUCCCUGAGGCUCCUAUGUGGCAGCUUACCUCCUUCACUAGUCAACAGAAGUCUGGGUACCUUGAAGCCACCACGCUGGAGGGACAAUGUGGAGAGAUGACAUAGAGAGGAAGGAAUGCCUGAGGAGCCCCAGCUGUUGUAGCCUUCCCAGCCCAGAUGCCGGAUAUAGAAGGGAGCCUUCAAGAAGACCCCUGCUCCAGCCAACUUCUGACUGCAACCUCAUGGAAGAUCCCAAUCAAGAACUAUCAGCCACUCCAGAACUAUGAGAGAUAAUCAUAUUAAAUGACUAUUGUUUCAUAACACAGUUUGGAUGGUUUGUUAGAGAAACACAGGUAUCUGAAAUAGAAGGGGUGAUCAAAAAGAGUGGUUCUGCUGAUUACAUUCAUAUUCCCUUUGACAGCCAAAUUCCUGCUCAUGCCCUUUUAGUACCAUUUAAUUCCUGAAAUUUGGAAUUCCUCCAGUUCUAGCAAGAUGCCACAGACUUCCCCCCGCCCCUCCCCCCACCACCCCACAGUACCAGUAAUAGCCCACUUGUAUCGCUUUAUGCAGUGCCUCAAAGAAAACAUCUAAAACAAUUUAGAAAUAAUUCUAGGGGCAAUAGGAUGAAAUUUGGAGCUCAGCAUGGUCAAUCAGAAAAAAGAAAAAAAAAAAGAGAAGGGGGCAGGGCGGGGGGAGAAAACAAGACAAAGUAGGCUUUCAAAGAAAAUUGAGGAUCUGGAGAGCCUUCAACUAUUUUGAUUUAUAUUUAAACAUUUCUUGAGAUUGAAGUCUUGAUUAGCCCGGUCCUCUCAAGUUCUGCCUUAGCCCUGAUUUAUGGGAAAGCCAGGCCUGAGCAAAAUGAAAGCAAAAUGAGGUAUUCUUUAAAAUUACCUUGGAGCACUUGAAGGAGGGCACAAGUGCUAACGUUAGAUUAAAAGGGAAGUGAUGAGAUGAGUUUCUGAAACCCAAGAUCUGUAGAUGCCUGGCAGUGUAGGGAGGGGAGCCUAUGAAAGAUGGGCUACAAUCUCUGCAUGUGAGACCCCUGCAGGAUGCUUUGUUUGGUUUGGCUCGCCACAGACUGAGCUCUCCAUCAAAGGGUGGAUCUGAGAGCCCAGGCUGGCAUUUUGAUUCAGUGACUCUUCCAUCACCAGCUGGAAGCGAGAAGCUUCUAAUAUGGAGAGAAUGGUAGGGGUAUGGAGGGAGGGGACUGGCUCACAGUGGGUUGUGACAGUAGAAUCCUAGCUUACCAUGGCUCAGGGGCUGAAUCACUGUUAGACCAGGAGACGUGAGCCCCUGAUCCAUCUCUCUACUCUUGACUGUCUUCCAGCCAUACUUUCCACAUGGGCAGGAAAGCCAUGCGAAUAAGAAGAUGUGCUCACCUGGAGUGUGUCCUCUUCUAGAUUUUACCAUUAGUUCCUGGGAUCUGUAAUUCCCUGACAUAAUGGCUCCAAGCUCACUUCUAGGGGCUGCAUGAACCUCCUCCUUGGUCCAUUCUUCUGAGGACAGACUAUAUCCCAAGACUUGAGGGGUGGCUAGGUGGUAGCUAUUUACGGGAGCCUGUGGAGGCACUUGGACACAUUGUCUGGGAUGUUCACAUGCAUGAGCAUAAGGCCUUUACUAUGUGGGUGGAGCCAAGGGUGAAAAAAGAGAAGAGAGGUAUAUGGCAGAGGCUGGAACCUACACAUCCCCAGGCCUGCAGGUUUGGUACAGAAAACUGAGAAUUCUGAGAAUUUUAAAUUGAAACUUGGCUUUCUAGGUUGAUAUAAAAGUACAUCUAUCAAUAGAGGAGGAGGGAACAUACUGUAUUUGACAGUUGUUAUCUUUAUUUAUAACUCUUACAUAUGUAGCCAUAUGGCACAUGUGGGCCUCCAUAUGUACUCUUGCCCUGGUCCUACAAAUAUUAGGAGAGGUCUGUGCAAAGGACAGAGGCAGAGUGUGCUGUUGGUCUGCUGUGUCAGCUGCAGGGAACUCAGACUUUCUCCAGCCUUAUCCCUGAUGGUUGGAUGGUAUUGUUUUCAACUUUGACUUCUCUCACAAACCCCUCCCCUGCACCCCAGCUCAAGAGUCAACAAUGAUUGUUCUCAUCUACAGGAAGAGUCCUGAAGGCUUACGGAACAUUCUGGGCCCAAUCUACUGUCCUAACCCUACUUCCCAUCACUCUUCUUCCCCUCCAUGAACCUUCUAUGUGGUAGUAUAAACCUAUUCCCUACUCCCUACUCCCCUCUGCCUGCCUCUCUCUCUCUCUCUCUCUCUCUCUCUCUCUCUCUCUCUCACACACACACACACACACACACACACAGUUUCCCUCCUCUCAAUUUACUCAUGACAUUUAUUCUGCCUCAAAUGGCUUUCCUCGUCUUCUCCACCUAUCCAAAUUCUACCUAUUUUUAAAGAUCUAGUUCAAUUUGAAUUUCUUACACUGUGUUUAUUUAUUAAUUAAUUUAUUAAAUGGACUAAUCAGUGAAACUCAGUCAUGUACCAUUGCCUGGAUUAUAGUCAUCUGGAAAUUUUUUUCCUACUCUAACUCAUCUUGAUCUUGAUCUUGAUUUUUCCUAAUUUCUACUUCAUAUGACAUCAUUACUACUAAAUUUUAACAAAAUUCCAACACUGCUUUCUUAAAUUUUCUUAUAGAUUUUAUAUCUAAAUUGGAUGACAGAUUUCUUGUGAGCAGGAGUGCUCCGUUGAACUAUUUUCAUAUCCCACUCAUUGGCAGGCAUAGUUUAAUAGUAUAAAGUUGAUAUGCAGCAAAGACCCAUUGACUGAGUGAUAGGCAGAUUGAUGGAGGGACAAACUGAUUUGUUGCCAAACUUCCUUCCUUGCAAAGGAAUUUGCAAAGAGCUCGGGUGGUCUGGCUUAUAUUCUCUCCUUGCCAUUUUUUAUCAUUCUGCUGGAUUAUUUCUAAUGCAUUUUGUAUCUAUCAUGCCUGAAUUUAUUUCAACCCCUUUGAACAUAUUGAUAUUUUGGCUUGAAGUCUUAAUAAGAGUGAUUUCUUUACUACAAAUUUGAGUUUUUAUUUGUAAUUUACACCAAAUUACUCUUAUAGACAAGCAUGUGUUGAAAUAAAUAGGUUAAGUCAUUUAUUAUUUCUUAUUAUUUCCAUAUGAUUUUGGUUUGCUUUUCUAAUAUCUCUUCUCUUAGGCCUGAAGUCUCUGUUUCUAUCUGUUUUCUUUUAGGAAAUAGUUUGUAUUAGAACAGUGGUCCUCAAAGAUGUGGUACCUGGGCCAGUACCAUCAGCACCACCUGGAAACUUGCUAGAAAUGCAAUUAUCAGGACCUGGCCCAGAUCUAUUAUUUGAACAAGACUUCUAGGUGAUUCUGAUGCAUUAGCUAAAGUUUGAGAAUCACUCUAUUAGUUGAAAGAACACUGAGCUGGCAGGGUAGACCCUGAAUAUUGGCUCUGGCUCUAUUAUUAAAAGCUGUAUGACCCAUUCUGAAUGUUAGUUUCCUCAUGCCAAUUCUUCUGUCUGUCUUGGUGUCUUUGGGGACAAAGAUGAACUAUUCUCCUUUUAGGUUUUUUUGUUUGCUUUUGUUUUCAUUUUUUUUACUGGUGACAUGGUGAAAAUAGUAACAAUACUUACUUCACAAAGUUAUUCUGAAGAUGAAAUAGUUUUCUACUUUAUGAAAAAAUAAUAAAAUAAAAUAAUUCACUGCAUACACAUCCUUACAGGAUUUUCUUUCAACUCAUAGAAUUCCCAAGGGAGCCCAAGUUCUCAUUAUUUUACACCGGAUCACAUAGUAAGAAAUCUUGGUUUCUACCAUAUGUAAGUGUUACAGCCCCUUGGGGAAUGAGCACAUACAUGGUUGUGUGUGUAUUUAAAAUGUCUGAAUAAAUGGUACUUAUAAUGAACAAUAAACUCAGAAGAGGAAGCAGCUUCUGAGAGCUAUGGUGGUCACACAGAGAAGGCUGCAUAUCAAAGAUACUUGUUGAGUUGAGACAUAAAAAUAGGCUACAGAGAGAUGGGUGGGUGGGGGAAGGACACUUAUAAUCAGCCCUAGUAGGUAAAUGCCAGGAUUAAAUAUGUAGACUAAAAUGGGGGUGCAGAGGAGGACAGUGAGUUUACCAACUACCAGCAGUUGGGUGUGUACAGAGAGAUAUAGUGGAGGAAAAUUUGAAGGGGAUGUUGAAGCCAGUUGUGGAGGGUCUUGAUGGUAAGCAAAGUGAUCUGGAAACUCAUAUUGAGAAAAAUCAUCACUAGUCAUGAUUUAGAUUCCUCUAGGGUCAGUGGGCUAUUCACCUGGUGAUGUGUUGGGGGCAUCUGAUCACAUGCUUUCAGGAAAGAGGACAGAAGUCUGAGGCCUGAACACUUGAAACCUAUCUUGGGAACUCCAUGGCUGGCUCAAUGGAGCCAGUCUAAAUGUGUAUGUGUUAAUUAACUCCUAAUAUCUUUAAAGACUAGCCCAACCACAGAGUUUAAGACACCCCAGGGGAGAAGAAGCAAGUUCAUCAUAUCAGUGGUUCUCAACCUUGGCUACACAGGAUCACUGGAGAGCUUAAAAAGUCCAUAUCAGGAACUCUGCCCCAGAGAUUUUGAUUUAAUUGGUCUGGGGUGGGGUCUGUGUACUGUUAUAUUUUAAAAGCUCCCCAGGUGAUUCUGAGGUUCAGCUAGUGCUCUGAACCAUGGUCCCUGCAGAGUUCAGAAGAUAUAAUUGUAGGACUCAGAUAAAAUUUGAUCAACCCCAAUGACUUGUAACAUAUUCUCAGUAAGGAAGUGUUUCUGUUGUCUCAGACAUCGGUUGUCUCUGAUUUUUGGUGGCUCUUCAAAUAAUGUGGCAGAUUGCCAUGGUCUUGGCAGGCUGGGGAGUCUGGCAGACACAAGUGAUCUUGGCUGGAGUGUUAAAAAAUAUGAACCCAGAAAAGAAAACAUAAGGUGAGGUGGAGCAGUGGAAAGGACUCUGGGUAGGACAUCUGAAGACUUCUAUACAACACCAGUAAGAAGUCAGGAACUGCAGAUCAAAAGCGCAAUUAUAAAAACAUUGUCCGAUUUCCUAGACUUUAUAACCAUCACAUGUUUAUUUUUUAUACUUCCUUCUGUAGCUCCACAGAAACUACCAGUAAAUCUCUGGAAUUGAAAAAGGAUGGAAGGCUUGUUGUCAGGGCCUGCAAGGAAAACUGGAGGGCUUUGUGGCACAGUGUCUUGGAGGGAAGGAACUCUCAGGCCAGGCCUGGGUAGGGACAGUUUUCAAGAGAAAAGAGAACAUGGCUUCCGGGAGGACAGCCAGAAGUCUCUUGUAACUUCACUGUGUUUAAAAGUACAACUAACCCAUUACCCAGCACACAGCAUUAAUUAAAUACAUAUUUGUCUAAUUGACAUGUGUUCUAGUCCUGGCCUCUACUCCUUCUGGGUUGUGUAUCCUAGAAUAUCUUCUUUAUUCAUCUAGUGUACUUCUUCCAAGUGGGGUAAAUCAUAAUCUAAUUUCCAGUCUUUAGGAAGUGCCCCAAAGGCAUGGGAAAAUGGACUGAUAAAUUUGAAGGAGUCUAGGUUUAGAGGUUAAAGUGACAUGCUUUUGAUGACAUCAUUUUCCCAAGCCUGAAGUUUUAGCUUAGAAAUUUAUAUAUGAUGUGCAUGCAUUCAUUCAUCGAAAUUUUAAACGUUUAUUUAUUUAUUUUGAGAAUGAGAGAGAGAGGCAGAGAGUGAGGGAGAGAGAGAAUCCCAAGCAGGUCCCACACUCAACACAGAGCCUGAUGUGGGGCUUGACCCACUACCAUGAGAUCAUGACCUGAGCCAAAAUCUAGAGUUGGAAACUUAACCAAGUGAGCCACCUGGCACCUCCAUUCAUCAAAAUUUUACUGAGAGUCUAUGAUAAGCAUGGCAUUACCUUAAGAACUUCAGAUUCAGCAAGGAAUCACUAAAAUAAAAAAGACCCUAGUUUCAUGUUGUUUCUCUUCUAGUGGAAGGAAACACAAUAAAUUAUAAUUUAUCUGUUUGUUUAAUAUAAAAACAAGGAAACAUUAUUUACAUGUUCAAAUUCCUUAAAACCCCCUCUACCCUUGCUUCAUCCUGGUGUCAUAUGAGGCUCCAAGAGGAGGUAUAAGGUCUGGGCCCCUGGCCAUGGUGGUAUACUGCCUAAAGCACAUGGUCCCACGUGGGAAAGCUGAGAAAGAAUAUUGUGAGGAUCAAGUAAGAGAUGGAAGUCACUCAGUCGGGAGACUUCAAUAUACUGUGUAAACUUAAAGGAUGAAUACGAUUUUUAUGAUUCCAAGUUACGAAUGCACUCUGUGCCAGAAUAUGGUGGACUCACUCAAGCCUGUGAGCUGUGAAUACUCUAAACUGCUGUCUUACUCUCAUGUGCCCCUCAGGCCACAGUAGUUGGGUACAUGAGGGCAUGGGGUGAUACCAGAGUUGAUGUUGGCCACUCAGUCUGCUUUGGGAGAUGUGAGGAAGAACCUGUGCCACGGUGCUUUGAUAUCUACCAUUUUGGUUAAGUGCCAACCACUAUAAUCCAUGAAGAACUUCAUUUCAGGGUAAGGGUUGGGUGAGGGAUUGGGGAGACUGCAGACUAGGCGUUCAAGAACAUGUACAAUAUCAUGGAGUUUUAGAGCCAAAGCGUAGUCCAGAGUGGUUAAGUGGCAAGUUCAGGAUCACACAGCUAAUAACGGGUAUAGCUGGAAUGAGAAAAGACAGCUGUUUGUCUGUACUUCUUUUCUGUUAAGAAGUGUUGACUGCACCACCAGUCCAUAUCACUCUGUCACCAGCUGGUCCCCCUCAAAGGCACACACUUGCUAUAGGUUGAAAGAUAAAUGUUUCCUGUUUAUCUGGAACAGAUUGAUACAACUCCAGCUCUUCAUUCCUGACAACACUAUACUUUAGCACAGGAAAGAAUGAUGAGAAGAAAUCAAUAAUGUUGCAGUUUGGAACACCAUUGCAGGGCUUUUAGUCAAACUCUCUUGAUUAGGGGUGGAGGUGGGUGGGCUACAAACUGCAGCCUGAAGAAGGAAUGGUACUGGCUCAAGGUCACAUGUCUGGUUAGUUGAUAGCUGGGAAAGGAACUCAGGACUCCUGACUUCCAUGCCAGGGCUCUGUCUCCCACUGUCAUUGAGAACGGAUAUUGGUGUGGACCAGCACUCUUGGCAGACGGAUUAUUUAAUGAGCCAAAUUAUUUUACCAUAAUGGCAUGAACAUUUCAUAGUAAAUCAGGUCCAUUGUCACUACAGCAUCACUAAUUACCCACAUGUAGUCAGCAAGGGUGAACUUUCCUCUUGAAAUCGCUAUUUCAUAGAAUAUUGAUUUCCCAGAUACAUUGUGAGAUGGCUAACAUUGGCUAGGAUGAGAUAUGAAGUCUGGAUAAAUAUACCUUGAUGUGCUUUUUAUAGCCUCUGAUCCCUAAAUCUUGAAUUUUAUUUUGUAAGGAAGAAGCUCAUAGUAGAUUCUAUAGGAAUAAGGAAGUAUAGAAUUGGUAUAUUAAUGAAUCAUUUAGACUAAAGGGGUUCGUUCAAGGUUAAGAGAUGAUUUUUAUUUCAAGUAGGGAGGCAUCUGGGAACAUUUAUAGGCUGUUGAUAAGGAACCAGUGGAGAGGGAGGUACAAACUCAAGAAAGGGCAAGGGUAGAUCACUGAGGGAGUAAAGUUCCUGAACUGGUAGGGUGACUGGAUUUGGACAAGAGCAAGGCACUAUAUUUUCUCAGACUGGAGGUGAAGGAUAAGCGAAGAUGGAAAUCACCAGAAGAUUGAAGGUGUGUGAUGGGAGGCAGUUGGGAUGAAGGGAGGGGGUCAUGAGGGGUGCAACUGAAGCCUAUUGCCCUCUUAGUUAAAGAAAUGUUGGAAGAACAACUUAGGCUGGAAUAGGUACCCAAUGUUCAGGGAGAAGUGAGAGAGUGGGGAUUUCAUCUCACCCUCAUCAACCUAACUUCAAUCCUACUCAGACUUCUGCAGGUGCAAGUGAUCUCAGGCUAUGCCAGCUUACAGUAAAUUCCUCUUCUUUUACAGCAUCCAGGGUUUACCCCCAAAUCCAUAACAUCUAGAAUAUGACUAUCCAUAGUUCUGUAUUAUGAUCAUUUUGUCCAAGACCUACACACCUUGUGUCCCUGUAUCAGUCAGGGUUAGGUUAGGUUGUGCUACAAUAACAGCCUCCCACAUCUCUGAGGAUUAAAACAAUCUAGGUUUAUUUCUUGCGCGUACUAAAUGUCUCACUUGGGGUAUGAGGGUGGGGGUUGGGCUCUGCACAACACUGUCCUGCAGGGACUCAGGCUGACAAUGGAGCUGCCUUCUUGAAGUAGCUGGUCCUCAUGCCAAAUAUAAAAUAAUGUUUUGUGAGGUCUUGCCUCAGCAAUUAGAUGUUCUGGCUUGGAAGUAACGUGACGCUUUUGCUCACAGCCGAUUGGCCAGAACUGUUCUUCUACUACCCCGCACAAGGAGCAGUAAACGUAAUCCUAUUAUGUGCCUUGAAUGGGGAAGGGUGGUAGAUCUUUAGCCAACAGAACUAACACUACUAUACUCCUCCAGUCAGACCACAUGCUCUCUGAAAGGAAGGCCAGCCAUUCUGGGCCUCUUGCUUCUCUAGCAGAGGUGCCGAAUUUGGCAGCCCCAGCACCAGUCACAAGGCAGGGAUGUUCUAGCUGCACCCACCCAGCUCACCAAUUAGCCCAGUCCUGAGGCCACAGGCUACAAAUCUCAUGAAGCAGGCCAGGCAGGGAGGGGGGAGGCAAGACCUGCUGGGGGUAGCAGUGGAAGUGAAGGUCACAAGGAGAUAAGGAGCAAGUAGUAAAAAACAUAAAGGAGUCUGCUCACAAUGACAGGGGCACUGAUGUUGCCAUCUUGGGUGGUUCAGCCCCCACAGUGCUGGGCACGUACAGGAGUGUCUGAAAGAGGGUAGGAGAAUAGCCCAACAGCUAUGCUGGUUUGAUUGCAGUGAGUUGAGUGUAAGAACAUUAGAAAGAGUAGGCUGGGUCAAGCCCUAUGAUAUUGAGGGGCAGGCUGGAAGAGACCAUGGCCACCCUUCUCCACGUCUUCACAGCCUUCUCCUGAACAUCCUCAGGUGGAUCUGUUAUUCAUGAAAUGAUCUGAAUUUGCCUGGUGUUUUUUUUUUUUUUAAAUCUUUUUUUACUGGUCUCCUCUUGAGGUAACUGACCAAUUUGCCUUUGAACCCAACAACUCCCCAGUGAAGUGGUCAGCCAAGGUGGAGGCCCAGAGAGGCAGAAGGCUUACUGCAAGCAGGGAGGCUAACGAUUGGGAGUCCCACCUCUCUCACUUUCCUCCUUGUGCCACAUGGUCACUAGGCUAAACCCAGACAAAGGUUAGUUUCUUCAGAAAUAGAGUGAAAAGAACCUCAGGCUUCUGAAUUAAUGGAUACUCUGACUCCUUCCCAAAUUUUAAGGUGUUCUAGACAUUGAAUAAGAUAAAGAAGCUUCCCUCUGUUCAAGGACAACAGCUGAAAAGAAGCAGACAGAUCUGGACUGUCCAGCCAGCUUGCUCUCUCUCAGCUGGGGUCCCUUUAAGACUCGAGAACUCGGAGGUAGGGAGGUCAGACACAGGCCAGUGGAAGUUUCCACACUCUAUGUGUCUGGGCCAGAGUCUCUGUCUAUCUCUGCUGGGGAAGGGUGGGCCCUGUUCCCACAGGCCUGAGAUUUAUGACUUCAGUCUGGGAGGGGGCGUUGGCCUUUACUUCUCGGCACGAACAAUGGUAAACACUUAUGAAGAACAUUUGGAACUGGUAGCCCUCAGCCUGUGUCAGGCUAACUCUCUAGUCCUCUGUCUUCUUGUGAGUUGUGCGCACCAGCACCUCUCACAAACCUGACCUCUGAGCAAAGCUGGAAGUUUUCUCAGCCUGCACGGCCUUGCAGUUAUCUGUUAGUGGAGAUAGCAUCUCCUGCCCCCAAGAUUCUUCCUUUAAUACACGGAAGUAUUAAGGGGCCAAAGUUGUAUGUGGAGCUUAAAUGGGAGUCAAAGAUCAGUAGCUAACCGGCUGAAGCCUUAAUUAUCAGUGGAGGGACAGUGACAGGGAAGGAAGUCUGGCCAGAUGAGGGAGGCAGUGAUGUGUGCGUGUGUGUGCGCACAUGUGUUGGGGGUGACAGCAUGGAGAGGGCUGACAUCAGCUUCCUAUUUAGAGGAUUUUUAAGUGGUUGCAUGUAGAGGGGUUCUGGUCGGGGUUCUGUGCUUAUGGAAGAAUUAUCCCAUUUUCUUCUGUUGAAGGCAGUAGAUCAUAGAGGUUAAGACACAGUCUCUGAAAUCAGACUAUCUGAGUUGAAAUAUCCUGGUCCUGCUACUUCUACCUGUGUGACUUGGGCAAACUCCUGCACUUCUUCUAAGCCUCAGUCUUCUUGUCUAUAAAAUGGGCAUGGCUAAGAAACUGACAUUGUAGAGUUGAGAUUGCUGAGUGCCUAGCACAGGGCCAGAAAUCCGCAGUUACUAUUACUAUUUUUUGAUAUUCUCCCUGAUUUCCUCACCUGCAGCAAUGCCGAGACCAUUGAGAACUCCUUCUAUGGCAGAAAUGGCCUGUCCCUACUUGCUUCCUCAAGAAAGCAAUGCACAAACCCACGUCUACUCUGCCACUGAAGCAAAAGGCACACCUCCCCCGAGCCCACCUUCCCACCUGACACCCAGUGCCUGUGGCUUUAAGUAGGGAUGAAGCUGGAGUGGAGGAGGCAGGGGUAAAAGGACAAGGCAGCUUUCUUCUCUUCUGAGUCAGGGCUGGGUGGGGGAUGGAUAGUAACAGAGUGAUCCAAGGAGGAGGCAGGUGGCCUUCAGACACAGCGUCCCUCCUGCCGCCCCUCGUGCCUGGAAAGCGCUCUGCCCAUGGAUAGGCCUGUCAGGGUACACUGAUACAGUGCCCCAGAGGAGGCCGGGGCUGUGUGUGGUGCAUGUGGUGACGAGUGGCCUGGGAGUGGCUCAGUAUUCUGCUACCGACUGACUGCAGAACCCGGGACAAGCUGCCUCACCUUUCUGGGCCUCAGUGUCCUCCUCACAUGUCAGACUGAUGUCUGCCGUUAUGCCAGGCCAUCUCUCCUGCAUCCUUCACACAGAUCCCUUAACUCCCUCUCUUUGCACACUCACACAGGCACAUGUGCACACACACACUCAUGCACGCCCAUACAGAGGCACACAUAUGUGCACAGAGUGCACCAUAGGUGCGGGUGCACAUGUGUACACACACAUGUGAACACAAGUGUGUUCCUCCUCAGCCGUCUGACUCACACCCAGUUCAAGUUCCACCUCCGGGCUCCCUGGUCUUCCCAUUCCACCCUGAUCUCCUGCUCUUCUGAACUUUCAUGGUGGCCCGCACGAAGUCUCCUUUCAGUUUCCUUGUCAACUUCGGGGUGUGUGUAGUUCUGCACUAUUUUUUCCUCCACAUGCAUAGUAAGCCCCUGACAGCCCCAGGUUCUAGGUCCUCCCCCCCCAACAACUUCCAUGGUGCACAGAAGUGAAUUUUCUGUGCCACUAAUGAUGUAUAAGCUUCACGGCCUUCCUCAACACCGUGCUUACGCGGUCACAUGUUUGCACACAGUUGGUGAAUGCAAGAUAUUUUAGCUAUGAUCUGUUAACACCUGCGUUUCUCUCACCUCUGAUUUACCCCCUGUCACGCUUCUCUGUUUGGUGGCAUCAGAAUGCCAGUUUGGAAACUAGCUAAGGAGCAGCUGAGUUGGGGGUGUUGGGUUUGCGUUGAGCGGGAUGUAUUUAAUGUGAUACUUAGUCCCUUCUAUAGAAGCAAUUCACUGUUGCUAGCUGUCACCGUGGAGUAAAGGCUUCCAGGGACAGACUGCUGCCCACUGUGCAGAGGUAUUCUGUGUCAUGCCACAAAGAGCCACCCGAAGUUGUGUGGAGACCUGAGUGAAUGUGUCCUACAGUGUCCAGCCCUGGAGGUACAUGGAGAAUGGAAGAAAAACAAGGACUAACGUGUACAGACCCCAGAAUCUAGCUGGUGGGGGAUUCCUCCAAUCAUCAGGCAGGUGAAAUUGUAAGCAGAAGAUUCUAUUCUCAUCACUGCCUAGUCAAAAUGAAAGUUCUCUCUUGUCAGGAAUAUACUCUAUCAUGCAAAGUAAUACAAUUACAAAUGCACUAUUCAUUUUGUUUCUUUUUUGAUGGGAAUUACCGACACAGAAUUUAUCAGAACCCCCAUGUUUAAAUGUCUUGCUGAUUUGACAGGAAAUACUGACACUGACAGAGAUAACAGAAAACUCAUUAUAUGCCACCACAAUGAGGACAUCGAUGACAAUCUGGUUAUAAGUUUCAUAAAUUCAAAGAGUAUUUUAGAUUUGUCACUGUAAAUGAGAAGUUGAAAUGCCCUGAAAUCUCAUAGCUCAUAUAUGAAAGAUACUUGACAGAGGUUUUCCCAAAGUUGAUAACAAUCCUGAAAAUUCACAUGGCAUUACCAGUGACAAAUUGAGAGACUCAAAGAAACCUUUCCAAACCGUGAAUAAUAAAAUACAAAAAUUGGAUCAACUUGUUAGAGGAGAGACUGAAUUAUCUUUGUAUUCUCUCUACAAAAAUGAUAUUGAAAAAUGAUAGUCAUUUAAAGAGAUGAUCAAAGAGUUUGCAGCCAAAAAAAAAAAAAAGUAGGAAGAAGAGUAUUAUGGAUGCGUAUCAGACACUUAUUCUAGAUUAUGUGGUGCCUGUGGAAUUUGUCAGUGUUUUACGGUUUGUAAUUUGUUGUGAUUUCUUUUGUUUUUGUAAAUACAACUUCACUUUCAAACAUAA
Molecule: long non-coding RNA, 13556 nt
Organism: Felis catus (domestic cat)
Lineage: Eukaryota; Metazoa; Chordata; Mammalia; Carnivora; Felidae
Exons: 2
Source: RefSeq, a predicted model, not a curated record